CGGGACGUGGCGCAGUCCGGUAGCGCACCUGCAUGGGGGGCAGGGGGUCGAAGGUUCAAAUCCUUUCGUCCCGACCA
Molecule: transfer RNA, 77 nt
Filed under: bacterium
Lineage: Bacteria
Description: tRNA-Pro
Rfam family: tRNA
About the family: Transfer RNA (tRNA) molecules are approximately 80 nucleotides in length. Their secondary structure includes four short double-helical elements and three loops (D, anti-codon, and T loops). Further hydrogen bonds mediate the characteristic L-shaped molecular structure. tRNAs have two regions of fundamental functional importance: the anti-codon, which is responsible for specific mRNA codon recognition, and the 3' end, to which the tRNAs corresponding amino acid is attached (by aminoacyl-tRNA synthetases). tRNAs cope with the degeneracy of the genetic code in two manners: having more than one tRNA (with a specific anti-codon) for a particular amino acid; and 'wobble' base-pairing, i.e. permitting non-standard base-pairing at the 3rd anti-codon position.
Source: RNAcentral